This 279-nucleotide ribosomal RNA is filed under the name uncultured bacterium. RNAcentral describes it as "partial 16S ribosomal RNA". It matches the Rfam family "Bacterial small subunit ribosomal RNA", at positions 506 to 784 of the family's 1533-position model. The record is from RNAcentral.
UGCCAGCCGCCGCGGUAAUACGGAGGGAGCUAGCGUUGUUCGGAAUUACUGGGCGUAAAGAGCACGUAGGCGGAAUGGUAAGUUAAAAGUGAAAUCCCAGGGCUUAACCCUGGAACUGCUUUUAAAACUGCCAAUCUAGAGUAUGGUAGGGGACAAUGGAAUUCCUAGUGUAGAGGUGAAAUUCUUAGAUAUUAUGAGGAACACCGGUGGCGAAGGCGAUUGUCUGGGCCAAUACUGACGCUGAGGUGCGAAAGCGUGGGGAGCAAACAGGAUUAGAUA